UGGGGAAUUUUGGACAAUGGGCGAAAGCCUGAUCCAGCAAUGCCGCGUGUGUGAAGAAGGCCUUCGGGUUGUAAAGCACUUUUGUCCGGAAAGAAAUCCUUGGCUCUAAUACAGUCGGGGGAUGACGGUACCGGAAGAAUAAGCACCGGCUAACUACGUGCCAGCAGCCGCGGUAAUACGUAGGGUGCAAGCGUUAAUCGGAAUUACCGGGCGUAAAGCGUGCGCAGGCGGUUUGCUAAGACCGAUGUGAAAUCCCCGGGCUCAACCUGGGAACUGCAUUGGUGACUGGCAGGCUAGAGUAUGGCAGAGGGGGGUAGAAUUCCACGUGUAGCAGUGAAAUGCGUAGAGAUGUGGAGGAAUACCGAUGGCGAAGGCAGCCCCCUGGGCCAAUACUGACGCUCAUGCACGAAAGCGUGGGGAGCAAACGGGAUUAGAUACCCUGGUAGUCCACGCCCUAAACGAUGUCAACUAGUUGUUGGGGGAUUCAUUUCCUUAGUAACGUAGCUAACGCGUGAAGUUGACCGCCUGGGGGAGUACGGUCGCAAGAUUAAAACUUAAAUGAAUUGACGGGG
Molecule: ribosomal RNA, 572 nt
Filed under: uncultured bacterium
Lineage: Bacteria
Description: partial 16S ribosomal RNA
Rfam family: Bacterial small subunit ribosomal RNA
Source: RNAcentral